UACAGAGGGGGCAAGCGUUGUUCGGAAUUACUGGGCGUAAAGGGCGCGUAGGCGGCCUUCUAAGUCGAACGUGAAAUCCCCGGGCUCAACCCGGGAACUGCGUCCGAUACUGGAAGGCUUGAAUUCGGGAGAGGGAUGUGGAAUUCCAGGUGUAGCGGUGAAAUGCGUAGAUAUCUGGAGGAACACCGGUGGCGAAGGCGACAUCCUGGACCGGUAUUGACGCUGAGGCGCGAAAGCCAGGGGAGCAAACGGG
This 253-nucleotide ribosomal RNA is filed under the name uncultured bacterium. RNAcentral describes it as "partial 16S ribosomal RNA". It matches the Rfam family "Bacterial small subunit ribosomal RNA", at positions 524 to 776 of the family's 1533-position model. The record is from RNAcentral.